GGUUCGAUUAUGGCUCAGAUUGAACGCUGGCGGGAUGGGCCUACACAGCAUGCAAGUCGAACAGCAGCACGGACUUCGGUCUGGUGGCGAGUGGCGAACGGGUGAGUAAUGUAUCGGAACGUGCCUGGUAGCGGGGAUAACUACGCGAAAGCGUAGCUAUCUGCAUACGCCCGCUCAGAGAGAAACAGAGGGUGCCCCCAGGCCUCGCACUCCUUAAACAGCCGUAUCGGGAUUAGCUAGUUGGUGGGGGUAACGGCUCACCAAGGCGACGAUCCGUAGCUGGUUUGAGGACGACCAGCACACUGGGACAAGGACGGCCCAGACUCCUGCAGGAGGCAGCAGUGGGGAAUUUGGACCGUGGGGCUCUGGUCCAACCAUCCCGCGUGUGCGAUGAAGGCCUUCGGGUUGUAAAGCAUAUGGCGGAAAAACGGCACAGGAUAAUACCCCGUGCAACUGACAUUCCCAAGAUAUUUCCGGCUAACUACGUGCCAGCAGCCGCGGUAAUACGUAGGGUGCAAGCGUUAAUCAGAUCUACUGGGCGUGGCGGUACCAGGCCAGUUCGAAGAAAAGAUGUAAAUCGGCUUAACUUUGGAACACCACAUUUUAACUGCCCGAGCUAGAGUGUGUCAGAGGGAGGUGGAAUUCCGCGUGUAGCAAUGAAAUGCGUAGAUAUGCGGAGGGAACACCAAAAUGUGAAGGCAGCUUAUCCCUGGGAUAACAACAGCGCUCUUCAGCGUGGGGAGCAAACGGGAUUAGAUACCCUGGUAGUCCACGCCCUAAACGAUGUCAACUAGCUGUUGGGGCCUUCGGGCCUUGGUAGCGCAACUAACGCGUGAAGUUGACCGCCUGGGGAAGUACGGUCGCAAGAUUAAAACUCAAAGGAAUUGACGGGGACCCGCACAAGCGGUGGAUGAUGUGGAUUAAUUCGAUGCAACGCGAAAAACCUUACCUACCCUUGACAUGUCUGGAAUCCCGAAGAGAUUUGGGAGUGCUACCGAGAACCAGGGCCUGGGUGCUGCAUGGCUGUCGUCAGCUCGUGUCGUAGAUGUUGGGUUAAGUCCGCAACGGCACAACCCUUGUCAUUAGUUGCUACGAAGGGCACUCUAAUGGGGCUGCCGGUGACAAACCGGAGGAAGGUGGGGAUGACGUCAGGUCCUCAUGGCCCUUAUGGGUAGGGCUUCACACGUCAUACAAUGGUCGGGACAGAGGGUCGCCAACCCGCGAGGGGGAGCCAAUCCCAGAAGCCAAAUCGUAGUCCGGGUCACGGUCUACCGCUCGACUGCGUGAAGUCAGAAUCGCUAAUGUAAUCGCUGAGGAUCAGCAUGUCGCGGUGAAUGGUCCCGGGUCUUGUACCUGCCGUCACCAUGGGAGUGGGUUUUACCAGAAGUAGUUAGCCUAACCGUAAGGAGGUACUACGGUAGGAUUCAUGACUGGGGUGAAGUCGUAACAAAGGUAAUACUUCGGUGUCGGGGGAGCA
This 1477-nucleotide ribosomal RNA is filed under the name uncultured Bordetella sp. RNAcentral's name for it is "partial 16S-23S ribosomal RNA intergenic spacer". It matches the Rfam family "Bacterial small subunit ribosomal RNA". Lineage: Bacteria; Pseudomonadati; Pseudomonadota; Betaproteobacteria; Burkholderiales; Alcaligenaceae. The record is from RNAcentral.